Molecule: ribosomal RNA, 254 nt
Filed under: uncultured bacterium
Lineage: Bacteria
Description: partial 16S ribosomal RNA
Rfam family: Bacterial small subunit ribosomal RNA
Source: RNAcentral
UACGGAGGAUGCAAGCGUUAUCCGGAAUGAUUGGGCGUAAAGCGUCCGCAGGUGGCAAUGUAAGUCUGCUGUUAAAGAGUCUAGCUCAACUAGAUAAAAGCAGUGGAAACUACAUAGCUAGAGUACGUUCGGGGCAGAGGGAAUUCCUGGUGUAGCGGUGAAAUGCGUAGAGAUCAGGAAGAACACCAGUGGCGAAGGCGCUCUGCUAGGCCGUAACUGACACUGAGGGACGAAAGCUAGGGGGAGCGAAAGGG